GUGGGGAAUUUUGGACAAUGGGCGCAAGCCUGAUCCAGCAAUGCCGCGUGCAGGAAGAAGGCCUUCGGGUUGUAAACUGCUUUUGUAUGGAACGAAACGGUCCGGGUUAAUACCCUGGGCUAAUGACGGUACCGUAAGAAUAAGCACCGGCUAACUACGUGCCAGCAGCCGCGGUAAUACGUAGGGUGCAAGCGUUAAUCGGAAUUACUGGGCGUAAAGCGUGCGCAGGCGGUUUUGUAAGACAGGCGUGAAAUCCCCGGGCUCAACCUGGGAAUUGCGCUUGUGACUGCAAGGCUGGAGUGCGGCAGAGGGGGAUGGAAUUCCGCGUGUAGCAGUGAAAUGCGUAGAUAUGCGGAGGAACACCGAUGGCGAAGGCAAUCCCCUGGGCCUGCACUGACGCUCAUGCACGAAAGCGUGGGGAGCAAACAGGAUUAGAUACCCUAGUAGUCC
Molecule: ribosomal RNA, 450 nt
Filed under: uncultured bacterium
Lineage: Bacteria
Description: partial 16S ribosomal RNA
Rfam family: Bacterial small subunit ribosomal RNA
Source: RNAcentral